GCUUACGGCCACACCACCCUGAGCACGCCCGAUCUCGUCUGAUCUCGGAAGCCAAGCAGGGUCGGGCCUGGUUAGUACUUGGAUAGGUGACUGCCUAGGAAUACCAGGUGCUGUAAGCUU
RNAcentral lists this ribosomal RNA (120 nucleotides) under Aetobatus narinari (spotted eagle ray). Lineage: Eukaryota; Metazoa; Chordata; Chondrichthyes; Myliobatiformes; Myliobatidae. The record is from RNAcentral.